UAGAAUUCCACGUGUAGCGGUGAAAUGCGUAGAGAUGUGGAGGAAUACCGGUGGCGAAGGCGGCCUUCUGGACAGAUACUGACGCUGAGAUGCGAAAGCGUGGGGAGCAAACAGGAUUAGAUACCCUGGUAGUCCACGCUGUAAACGAUGUCGAUUUGGAGUUUGUUGCCUAGAGUGAUGGGCUCCGAAGCUAACGCGAUAAAUCGACCGCCUGGGGAGUACGGCCGCAAGGUUAAAACUCAAAUGAAUUGACGGGGGCCCGCACAAGCGGUGGAGCAUGUGGUUUAAUUCGAUGCAACGCGAAGAACCUUACCUGGUCUUGACAUCCACAGAAUCUUGCAGAGAUGCGGGAGUGCCUUCGGGAACUGUGAGACAGGUGCUGCAUGGCUGUCGUCAGCUCGUGUUGUGAAAUGUUGGGUUAAGUCCCGCAACGAGCGCAACCCUUAUCCUUUGUUGCCAUCGGUUAGGCCGGGAACUCAAAGGAGACUGCCGUUGAUAAAGCGGAGGAAGGUGGGGACGACGUCAAGUCAUCAUGGCCCUUACGACCAGGGCUACACACGUGCUACAAUGGCGUAUACAAAGGGAGGCGACCUCGCGAGAGCAAGCGGACCUCAUAAAGUACGUCUAAGUCCGGAUUGGAGUCUGCAACUCGACUCCAUGAAGUCGGAAUCGCUAGUAAUCGUGAAUCAGAAUGU
This 695-nucleotide ribosomal RNA is filed under the name uncultured Gilliamella sp. Its description in RNAcentral is "bacterial SSU rRNA". It matches the Rfam family "Bacterial small subunit ribosomal RNA", at positions 662 to 1357 of the family's 1533-position model. Lineage: Bacteria; Pseudomonadati; Pseudomonadota; Gammaproteobacteria; Orbales; Orbaceae. The record is from RNAcentral.